Chrysemys picta bellii (western painted turtle) is the source of this 1034-nucleotide non-coding RNA. The record is from RefSeq and is a predicted model, not a curated record. Lineage: Eukaryota; Metazoa; Chordata; Testudines; Emydidae.
AGAGCCCGAGGCUGUCCUGGGGGGCGAGUCCCAGCCACUGCAGACAGCCCCGGCGAGCGCUGCAGCCCGGGUGGAGUUUGCAGGGCACAGGAAGGGGCUGGAGCAGCUGGGAGCGGUGGGUGCCGGGAGGAAGGAGGCAGGAGCCGGGAGAACAAAGAACCGAGAGCAUCAGACCCCGGGCAGCUCCUGAGAGACCAGACGCUGCUGCCUGGGAGCUGAGCAGCUGCUGCUUCCCCAGCGGGGUGUUUGCUGGGUGGAGUCCGGCAUUAACCCCUCCGUGCCCGGCUGGGGGGGCUUCUCCGGCUAGAAAUCGCCCAGGAUAGCAACCCUCCCGUUUUGCAACUGGGUGCAGUUUCUGCCACGCAACGUGACCAUCUGGGCAGCAAAUUGCUACAGAAUAACGUCCACAUUUUGCUUCAGAUCAUCCCAUCCUCCCAGGGGGAAGGAAAUGGCUUCAAUGGAGCUGGCUCAGGGGCCGGUGACCUUUGAGGAGGUGGCUGUGUAUUUCACCAGGGAAGAGGGGACUCUGCUGGACCCCACUCAGAGAGCCCUCUACAGGGAUGUCAUGCAGAAGAACUAUGAGACGGUGGUCUUGCUAGGAAGAACUGGGCUCUCAGAUGCAGGGAGCUCUACCGGAGCGAAGACAAAUGGACAGUCACAGUGAAAGGAAACCUAAGCAUUUUCUACAGCAGCAGGGCUCAAGGCCAUUGGCCAGUAUGGACUAUAUUGUCUUUGUUGCUUCCCUGUGCUAAUCUAAGGACUUUCCAAUGAUGUGUUUUGGUUGACUAAUAAACCCUGCUAUGUUUUAAAAGUCUGCCAGUGUCACAGCAAAAACUUGCUCUGUUCAUUGAAUGUCUCUGAACAGGAGUGUCAUUCAGCUGGACCUGCUGGGCAGAGCUCACAGGUUGAAAUAGGAGUGUUGAAGCCAGAGGCUCAGGGUAUGUCUACACUACGAAAUUAGUUCGAAUUUAUAGAAGCCGGUUUUAUAGAAAUCGGUUGUAUACAGCCGAUUGUGUGUGUCCCCACAUAAAAUG